UAACUAUCAACCUAAUAGUUGGACAUGAUCAUGGUUUGUAAUUGAGAAAAGAUAUUAACAACUCACAAAACUAAUGUUGCAUACAUACACACACACACACACACACACACACACACACACACACACACACAUAUUGUUGUUGCUAAACUCUAGAGAGGUCAGUAGAAGACUGAUCUAGAGAUUGGCCGGAGGACAAGCUUUGAACUUGGUGGGA
RNAcentral lists this long non-coding RNA (214 nucleotides) under Elaeis guineensis (African oil palm). RNAcentral's name for it is "long non-coding RNA (EGUI_LNC005271)". The record is from RNAcentral. Lineage: Eukaryota; Viridiplantae; Streptophyta; Magnoliopsida; Arecales; Arecaceae.